AAAGGCUGGCACUGAAGCUAUAACUAAUAAAAUGAAAUUCCUCUUUGACUGGCCGAUAGAAAUAUCGGCCAUUUUUUU
Molecule: small RNA, 78 nt
Organism: Rahnella aquatilis
Lineage: Bacteria; Pseudomonadati; Pseudomonadota; Gammaproteobacteria; Enterobacterales; Yersiniaceae
Rfam family: sroB RNA
Source: Rfam